ACAUUACUUCUAGCAAAUAUCUCAGUUCUUUUUCUGUGGAAGCAGCAAAGAAGCAGUACGCCCAGCACAUCACUUCUCGUUGGUGGGUUCUGAACUACGAAGAUGAGACUGCUUCUCUUAUUCUCCGUCAUCUGCUUGAUGGCCACUGUCAGCUUCAGUCAGCCUCCUGGUCCUCCAGGUCAAAAAGGUGAAAAAGGAGAUCCCGGAUAUCCUGGGUUUCCUGGGAUGAUAGGACCACCUGGACGAGAUGGUAUUCCUGGAUUACCGGGGACUAAAGGGGAGCGAGGAUUUCCUGGGAUACCUGGAUAUCCUGGCGUUCGUGGAACAUGCUGUAAAGUUUACACUUAAACACCUUUUUUUGCAAUGAUUGCUUUAGAUCAUGUACACCUCAGUUAUCUGGCAUGUUUUCUAAAGAUAAAGGCUAUGUGUCCCCUGAUGUGCCUUGAAAUCUAUGCAUAUGGUGACACAAUUAGGCAGGCGUAGGAUUAGAAAUAAGUCUACUGUAUUUAUAGUCUGUAAAGUCUAAAGGGAAGCUUGACUGUAGACUGUCGUUCUCUCUGUAACAUUUGUAGUCACACAAAUUUCUCACAAGGCCUCAGUUGUUUUGGUUGGUUACAUUUACUCAAAGCUGGAGUAUAUAAAACAAUUUAUGCCUGCACGCAUUUUGUAUUUUCUCAUGUUAUCUUCUGAUUUGUUGAUCAUAAGUGCCCACAACAUAAUUCACAUGGGGUAAUUUGAUCACUGUCUAAAUUUACAUGCUGGUUAGCAGCAUGUCAACGAUGAUGG
This is a long non-coding RNA of Pundamilia nyererei, 786 nucleotides long. RefSeq lists it as uncharacterized. The transcript is spliced from 3 exons. Lineage: Eukaryota; Metazoa; Chordata; Actinopteri; Cichliformes; Cichlidae. The record is from RefSeq and is a predicted model, not a curated record.